CGAGAGGCUCAUGGUGAGGGAGAGCGCGAGGCAGAACACGGGCCACGAGCGUCUCCACUCCAUUGUGCGCGAUCCGGAGAAGAGGCAAAAGUUUUAACUUUUUAUCCUUACCGAAACCAUAUUUCCGUUAAAGCGACGCUACCAUGGCGUAAAAGUUUGAAAUCAUUCAUGAUGGCUGUAAACUUUUCGGUAAAUCAAGAGAGGAAAAAAACAGUCCUCCAUCCCGCUUCUCUCCAAAACUCCCUGAAUUAGCUGCGCCUCCGCUGGGCAACAGGGCGGAGACUGAGCCACAAAGAGGACUGUCCCAAACACACACACACACACACACACACACACACACACACACACACACACACACACACACACACACACACACACACACACACACACACACACACGCGAAUGCGAGGACUCUCACAGCUCCGGUCGACCUGUUUCCAUCACACAUGCCAGUGUUCCCAUCUGCUUUAAUAUAGCCACAGACCACAACGACACUGAAAACAUCUAGUGAAAUCUCAGGUAUCGCUGUAUUUUAGGGUAAUAAAUGGGUAAACAGUUAUAUUAUUACGAUUAACUAUUAAUAAAGUGUUUUUGAUUGUAAAGGGUGGUUCAAAUAUGUAGAAUAUAAACAAAACUCCACAUUUCCAAAGUGUACAACGAUGAGCCACUAGACGGCGCAGUUUCUAAAGAAGCAUAGCCAGAAAAGCGGCAUAAAAAUCCUUUGGAAAUGCCUGAACAUACUAAUUAUAGUAGUAUAAACAAGGGAAGCAGCAAUAGAUCAUGAAAAAAAGACAUUAAGGUACAACUAUAGAGAAAGUUGAUCACAUCAAUGAAUAGUAUCUACUAAAGAUGGACAUAUCCAGACAAACAUACUAAAAGUCUAGAUAGACAGACAGAUAGAGAGAGACAUCUUGCUGCCCAAUUUGUAUCAAAAUGCCACAAACUGAGGGACAGUGGAAGAUCUGGACACACACACACACACACACACACACACACACACACACACACACACACACACACACACACACACACUCUUACACAC
Xyrauchen texanus (razorback sucker) is the source of this 1042-nucleotide long non-coding RNA. RefSeq lists it as uncharacterized. NCBI's taxonomy places the organism in Eukaryota, Metazoa, Chordata, Actinopteri, Cypriniformes, Catostomidae. The record is from RefSeq and is a predicted model, not a curated record. The transcript has 2 exons.